Molecule: ribosomal RNA, 647 nt
Filed under: uncultured bacterium
Lineage: Bacteria
Description: bacterial SSU rRNA
Rfam family: Bacterial small subunit ribosomal RNA
Source: RNAcentral
GUAAUGUAUCGGAACGUGCCCAGUCGUGGGGGAUAACGCAGCGAAAGCUGCGCUAAUACCGCAUACGAUCUAUGGAUGAAAGCGGGGGACCGUAAGGCCUCGCGCGAUUGGAGCGGCCGAUAUCAGAUUAGGUAGUUGGUGGGGUAAAGGCUCACCAAGCCAACGAUCUGUAGCUGGUCUGAGAGGACGACCAGCCACACUGGGACUGAGACACGGCCCAGACUCCUACGGGAGGCAGCAGUGGGGAAUUUUGGACAAUGGGCGCAAGCCUGAUCCAGCAAUGCCGCGUGCAGGAAGAAGGCCUUCGGGUUGUAAACUGCUUUUGUACGGAACGAAACGGUCCUGGUUAAUACCUGGGGCUAAUGACGGUACCGUAAGAAUAAGCACCGGCUAACUACGUGCCAGCAGCCGCGGUAAUACGUAGGGUGCAAGCGUUAAUCGGAAUUACUGGGCGUAAAGCGUGCGCAGGCGGUUUUGUAAGACAGGCGUGAAAUCCCCGGGCUUAACCUGGGAAUGGCGCUUGUGACUGCAAAGCUGGAGUGCGGCAGAGGGGGAUGGAAUUCCGCGUGUAGCAGUGAAAUGCGUAGAUAUGCGGAGGAACACCGAUGGCGAAGGCAAUCCCCUGGGCCUGCACUGACGCUCAUGCA